RNAcentral lists this ribosomal RNA (253 nucleotides) under uncultured bacterium. RNAcentral describes it as "partial 16S ribosomal RNA". It matches the Rfam family "Bacterial small subunit ribosomal RNA", at positions 524 to 776 of the family's 1533-position model. The record is from RNAcentral.
GACAGAGGGUGCAAACGUUGUUCGGAAUUACUGGGCGUAAAGCGCACGUAGGCGGCGCUGCAAGUCCCAUGUGAAAUCCCACGGCUCAACCGUGGAAGUGCAUGGGAAACUGCAGUGCUUGAGUACUUAAGAGGAUCGCGGAAUUCCCGGUGUAGAGGUGAAAUUCGUAGAUAUCGGGAGGAACACCAGUGGCGAAGGCGGCGAUCUGGGAAGAUACUGACGCUGAGGUGCGAAAGCGUGGGGAGCAAACAGG